RNAcentral lists this ribosomal RNA (1435 nucleotides) under Lactiplantibacillus pentosus. Its description in RNAcentral is "bacterial SSU rRNA". It matches the Rfam family "Bacterial small subunit ribosomal RNA". RNAcentral also lists the same sequence under 1 other name. Lineage: Bacteria; Bacillati; Bacillota; Bacilli; Lactobacillales; Lactobacillaceae. The record is from RNAcentral.
CAUGCAAGUCGAACGAACUCUGGUAUUGAUUGGUGCUUGCAUCAUGAUUUACAUUUGAGUGAGUGGCGAACUGGUGAGUAACACGUGGGAAACCUGCCCAGAAGCGGGGGAUAACACCUGGAAACAGAUGCUAAUACCGCAUAACAACUUGGACCGCAUGGUCCGAGUUUGAAAGAUGGCUUCGGCUAUCACUUUUGGAUGGUCCCGCGGCGUAUUAGCUAGAUGGUGGGGUAACGGCUCACCAUGGCAAUGAUACGUAGCCGACCUGAGAGGGUAAUCGGCCACAUUGGGACUGAGACACGGCCCAAACUCCUACGGGAGGCAGCAGUAGGGAAUCUUCCACAAUGGACGAAAGUCUGAUGGAGCAACGCCGCGUGAGUGAAGAAGGGUUUCGGCUCGUAAAACUCUGUUGUUAAAGAAGAACAUAUCUGAGAGUAACUGUUCAGGUAUUGACGGUAUUUAACCAGAAAGCCACGGCUAACUACGUGCCAGCAGCCGCGGUAAUACGUAGGUGGCAAGCGUUGUCCGGAUUUAUUGGGCGUAAAGCGAGCGCAGGCGGUUUUUUAAGUCUGAUGUGAAAGCCUUCGGCUCAACCGAAGAAGUGCAUCGGAAACUGGGAAACUUGAGUGCAGAAGAGGACAGUGGAACUCCAUGUGUAGCGGUGAAAUGCGUAGAUAUAUGGAAGAACACCAGUGGCGAAGGCGGCUGUCUGGUCUGUAACUGACGCUGAGGCUCGAAAGUAUGGGUAGCAAACAGGAUUAGAUACCCUGGUAGUCCAUACCGUAAACGAUGAAUGCUAAGUGUUGGAGGGUUUCCGCCCUUCAGUGCUGCAGCUAACGCAUUAAGCAUUCCGCCUGGGGAGUACGGCCGCAAGGCUGAAACUCAAAGGAAUUGACGGGGGCCCGCACAAGCGGUGGAGCAUGUGGUUUAAUUCGAAGCUACGCGAAGAACCUUACCAGGUCUUGACAUACUAUGCAAAUCUAAGAGAUUAGACGUUCCCUUCGGGGACAUGGAUACAGGUGGUGCAUGGUUGUCGUCAGCUCGUGUCGUGAGAUGUUGGGUUAAGUCCCGCAACGAGCGCAACCCUUAUUAUCAGUUGCCAGCAUUAAGUUGGGCACUCUGGUGAGACUGCCGGUGACAAACCGGAGGAAGGUGGGGAUGACGUCAAAUCAUCAUGCCCCUUAUGACCUGGGCUACACACGUGCUACAAUGGAUGGUACAACGAGUUGCGAACUCGCGAGAGUAAGCUAAUCUCUUAAAGCCAUUCUCAGUUCGGAUUGUAGGCUGCAACUCGCCUACAUGAAGUCGGAAUCGCUAGUAAUCGCGGAUCAGCAUGCCGCGGUGAAUACGUUCCCGGGCCUUGUACACACCGCCCGUCACACCAUGAGAGUUUGUAACACCCAAAGUCGGUGGGGUAACCUUUUAGGAACCAGCC